CCAGUCGGCUGGACGGCCGCGCGUGUGCAAACACGCGAGGAAAGUCCGGGCUCCACGCGGAUACGGCGGCGGGUAACGCCCGCCGGAAGCAAUUCUAGGGAUAGCGCCACAGAGAACAGACCGCCCCUGAGACGCCGCGCAAGCGGCACGAUCCGGGGUAAGGGUGAAACGGUGGUGUAAGAGACCACCGCGCCGACCGUAAGGAAGGCGGCACGGCAAGCCCCGCCGGGAGCAAGACCGAAUAGGGACACACGAAGCGCAAGCUUCACGCGCGUCCGCGCGUCGUGUCCGGGUUGGUCGCGAGAACCAUGCGGCGACG
This 319-nucleotide RNase P RNA is filed under the name Hyphomonadaceae bacterium. RNAcentral describes it as "partial RNase P RNA component class A". It matches the Rfam family "Bacterial RNase P class A", at positions 1 to 297 of the family's 367-position model. Rfam says of the family: Ribonuclease P (RNase P) is a ubiquitous endoribonuclease, found in archaea, bacteria and eukarya as well as chloroplasts and mitochondria. Its best characterised activity is the generation of mature 5'-ends of tRNAs by cleaving the 5'-leader elements of precursor-tRNAs. Lineage: Bacteria; Pseudomonadati; Pseudomonadota; Alphaproteobacteria; Hyphomonadales; Hyphomonadaceae. The record is from RNAcentral.